This 1602-nucleotide ribosomal RNA is filed under the name uncultured eukaryote. Its description in RNAcentral is "partial small subunit ribosomal RNA". It matches the Rfam family "Eukaryotic small subunit ribosomal RNA", at positions 383 to 1807 of the family's 1831-position model. The record is from RNAcentral.
UCGGAGAGGGCGCCUGAGAAACGGCAACCAUGACUACGGUCAGCAGCAGGCGCGCAAAUUGCCCAAUGCUAAUACUAUAGCGAGGCAGCGACGAAAAAUAGUAUUCCUGCGCUCUAUAUGGGCAGCAGGAUGCAAUGGAUUGUAUCUAAUACACACUGCUGAGUAACUAUUGGAGGGCAAGUCUGGUGCCAGCAGCCGCGGUAAUUCCAGCUCCAAGAGCGUAUAUAAACGUUGUUGCGGUUAAAAAGCCCGUAGUUGGAUUUGAGAGCAAAGCUUGUGGUCGCCCCUACUUUCCUUCGGGUUUGUGGGAUUCGCGAUCACGCAUAGGCCUUGCUCUGAAACAUGCGGGAUCGUCCACUGGCUGAAGGCACAUUCACUUGUGUUGGCAACUUCGGAGCGAUCACACUCCUGAAGGUGCGCCCGCAGACGUCACUGUGAGUAAACCAGAGUGUUCAAGGCAACCAUCGUGUGUGGUUGAAUGUUAAAGCAUGGAAUGACAAGGGAUCGACCUUCGGGGCCUCUUUUUGUUGGUUUUUAAGCCUUGUUAGGGGAAUCUAGCGUUCGUUUAUCGGGCAGGCGGUCACGCAAGUGUCGCCAAGUCGGUUCGGUUGCGCACGGGAUCAAUAGGAGCACAGGGGGCCAUGGGUACUGGAGGGUUAGUGGUGAAAUACUUAGACCCCUCCAAGACCGACAUCAGCGAAAGCACUUGGCUAUUGUGCUUUCAUUAAUCAAGGACGAGAGAUCGGGGAUUGAAGAGGAUUAGACACCCUCGUAAUCCGGUCUGUAAAUUCUGCAGACUUGGGAUCGGUCAGUGCUCGCUUCUUAGACCUGAUCGGCACCUUACUCCUCUAUCGAGAAAUCAAAGUUUUUGUGUUCCGGGGGGAGUAUAUUCGCAAGGCUGAAACUUAAAGGAAUUGACGGAGAACCACCACCAGUCGUGGAGUGUGUGGCUUAAUUCGACCCAACACGGGAAAUUUUACCAGGCCAGGACGUGGUAAGGAUUGCCAGAUUGAUAGCUCUUGCAUGAUUCCGCGAAGGGUGGUGCAUGGCCGCUUCUGGUUGGUGAAGUGAUUUGUCUGCUUAAUUGCGUUAACGAACGAGAUCUCUGCCAAUUACUAGAUGCCUGUGUCGUCUUAGGUUGCAGGUCCGGUUGCCCUCGGGUUCCCGUGCAUUGGCGCUGAGACGCAGGACUUUUACUUAUUGGGAUUAUGCAUUCUCAACUGCAUUGAAACAAGAGCCCAAAGCAGGUCUGUGAUGCUCCUAUAUGUUCUGGGCUGCACGCGCACUACACUGAUUCAGCCAACGAGCUUCUGCCGAUUUCGGCAGCCUGGUGCGAAGGCAUUGGGGAAUCUUUUGAGCCUGAGUCGUGAUGGGGAUUGAUGCAUUGUAAUUAUUCUCCAUGAACGAGGAGUGUCUUGUAUCCGCGUUUCAUCAGAACGCAGAGAAUACGUCCCUGGUUCUUGUACACACCGCCCGUCGUUGCCUGUGAUGGAUUGUGAGUAGAGCCAUCUGGAGGUGGUUGCAGGGGCGACUCUGUAACUCGCCGAAAUUUGGCAAUACUCCCAAUCUAGAAGAGGCAAAAGUCGUAACAAGGUAGCCGUA